This 278-nucleotide long non-coding RNA is filed under the name Nicotiana benthamiana. RNAcentral describes it as "long non-coding RNA (NBEN_LNC018054)". Lineage: Eukaryota; Viridiplantae; Streptophyta; Magnoliopsida; Solanales; Solanaceae. The record is from RNAcentral.
AGAAAAAAAGAGGGGGGUCGAUUUAGGCUCCUUCCCUUCCACUGCGUAGCCGCACUAGCAGGUACUACGAGCCCUCUGUCCCACGCAUCUAACCAGCUCGCGUGGUUCACCGGUUCCACCGAAAACUCUCAUUUGUUGAAGCGGAGCAUAGUGCGCUUUAGGCGCUGAGCGAGAAAGGUCUCUUCUUUCCUUUCGGUUUAUUCACUGAUCUGAAACUUAGCACUUGUUUUCUUAUUGAUUCCCGGGGCGGUGGCAUUCUUGAAUGAAGUCUAUCCGAA